GAUCGUUCUCGAUCUUCUUUACAGUUAAGAUCUAAAGGCUUGAUUUUUUGCUUAGUUUUUGUUGUGGGUUUUCGUUUCGAUGUGGUGCGAAUCUGAGCUGUUAAUUACUUUGAAUUGUUUCUUUUUUGUUGUUGUUGUUUUUAAUUAUAUUAGAUGUCGGCAGGGGAUUUGUUUGUGAGAUGGAUUAGUGGUGGGGGUGAAGUUGAGCCUUUGUAUUUGACUAUAUUAAUUUUGUGAAGUUUGGAUCAGAGCAAGUGGGGUGGGGGCUAUGGUUCCUUUUUAUUUAAUUUAAUUUGGGUGGUGGGAAAUGCUUUUUCAUUUCUAGAACGGAAUUGUGGCCAUAAUAGGAAGC
This 352-nucleotide long non-coding RNA is filed under the name Linum usitatissimum (flax). RNAcentral's name for it is "long non-coding RNA (LUSI_LNC001553)". Lineage: Eukaryota; Viridiplantae; Streptophyta; Magnoliopsida; Malpighiales; Linaceae. The record is from RNAcentral.